This 1979-nucleotide ribosomal RNA is filed under the name Escherichia coli. Its description in RNAcentral is "partial 23S ribosomal RNA". It matches the Rfam family "Bacterial large subunit ribosomal RNA", at positions 165 to 2167 of the family's 2925-position model. Lineage: Bacteria; Pseudomonadati; Pseudomonadota; Gammaproteobacteria; Enterobacterales; Enterobacteriaceae. The record is from RNAcentral.
CAUAGGUUAAUGAGGCGAACCGGGGGAACUGAAACAUCUAAGUACCCCGAGGAAAAGAAAUCAACCGAGAUUCCCCCAGUAGCGGCGAGCGAACGGGGAGGAGCCCAGAGCCUGAAUCAGUGUGUGUGUUAGUGGAAGCGUCUGGAAAGGCGCGCGAUACAGGGUGACAGCCCCGUACACAAAAAUGCACAUACUGUGAGCUCGAUGAGUAGGGCGGGACACGUGGUAUCCUGUCUGAAUAUGGGGGGACCAUCCUCCAAGGCUAAAUACUCCUGACUGACCGAUAGUGAACCAGUACCGUGAGGGAAAGGCGAAAAGAACCCCGGCGAGGGGAGUGAAAAAGAACCUGAAACCGUGUACGUACAAGCAGUGGGAGCACGCUUCGGCGUGUGACUGCGUACCUUUUGUAUAAUGGGUCAGCGACUUAUAUUCUGUAGCAAGGUUAACCGAAUAGGGGAGCCGAAGGGAAACCGAGUCUUAACUGGGCGUUAAGUUGCAGGGUAUAGACCCGAAACCCGGUGAUCUAGCCAUGGGCAGGUUGAAGGUUGGGUAACACUAACUGGAGGACCGAACCGACUAAUGUUGAAAAAUUAGCGGAUGACUUGUGGCUGGGGGUGAAAGGCCAAUCAAACCGGGAGAUAGCUGGUUCUCCCCGAAAGCUAUUUAGGUAGCGCCUCGUGAAUUCAUCUCCGGGGGUAGAGCACUGUUUCGGCAAGGGGGUCAUCCCGACUUACCAACCCGAUGCAAACUGCGAAUACCGGAGAAUGUUAUCACGGGAGACACACGGCGGGUGCUAACGUCCGUCGUGAAGAGGGAAACAACCCAGACCGCCAGCUAAGGUCCCAAAGUCAUGGUUAAGUGGGAAACGAUGUGGGAAGGCCCAGACAGCCAGGAUGUUGGCUUAGAAGCAGCCAUCAUUUAAAGAAAGCGUAAUAGCUCACUGGUCGAGUCGGCCUGCGCGGAAGAUGUAACGGGGCUAAACCAUGCACCGAAGCUGCGGCAGCGACACUAUGUGUUGUUGGGUAGGGGAGCGUUCUGUAAGCCUGUGAAGGUGUACUGUGAGGUAUGCUGGAGGUAUCAGAAGUGCGAAUGCUGACAUAAGUAACGAUAAAGCGGGUGAAAAGCCCGCUCGCCGGAAGACCAAGGGUUCCUGUCCAACGUUAAUCGGGGCAGGGUGAGUCGACCCCUAAGGCGAGGCCGAAAGGCGUAGUCGAUGGGAAACAGGUUAAUAUUCCUGUACUUGGUGUUACUGCGAAGGGGGGACGGAGAAGGCUAUGUUGGCCGGGCGACGGUUGUCCCGGUUUAAGCGUGUAGGCUGGUUUUCCAGGCAAAUCCGGAAAAUCAAGGCUGAGGCGUGAUGACGAGGCACUACGGUGCUGAAGCAACAAAUGCCCUGCUUCCAGGAAAAGCCUCUAAGCAUCAGGUAACAUCAAAUCGUACCCCAAACCGACACAGGUGGUCAGGUAGAGAAUACCAAGGCGCUUGAGAGAACUCGGGUGAAGGAACUAGGCAAAAUGGUGCCGUAACUUCGGGAGAAGGCACGCUGAUAUGUAGGUGAAGCGACUUGCUCGUGGAGCUGAAAUCAGUCGAAGAUACCAGCUGGCUGCAACUGUUUAUUAAAAACACAGCACUGUGCAAACACGAAAGUGGACGUAUACGGUGUGACGCCUGCCCGGUGCCGGAAGGUUAAUUGAUGGGGUUAGCGGUAACGCGAAGCUCUUGAUCGAAGCCCCGGUAAACGGCGGCCGUAACUAUAACGGUCCUAAGGUAGCGAAAUUCCUUGUCGGGUAAGUUCCGACCUGCACGAAUGGCGUAAUGAUGGCCAGGCUGUCUCCACCCGAGACUCAGUGAAAUUGAACUCGCUGUGAAGAUGCAGUGUACCCGCGGCAAGACGGAAAGACCCCGUGAACCUUUACUAUAGCUUGACACUGAACAUUGAGCCUUGAUGUGUAGGAUAGGUGGGAGGCUUUGAAGUGUGG